CCCGGUGCCCAUACCGGAGGGGGCACACCCGUUCCCAUCUCGAACACGGUCGUUAAGCCCUCCAGGGCCGAUGGUACUUGGCGGGAAGCUGCCUGGGAGAGUAGGUCGGUGCCGGGA
This 117-nucleotide ribosomal RNA is filed under the name Bacillota bacterium. The record is from RNAcentral. Lineage: Bacteria; Bacillati; Bacillota.